RNAcentral lists this long non-coding RNA (2870 nucleotides) under Sorghum bicolor (sorghum). RNAcentral describes it as "long non-coding RNA (SBIC_LNC015255)". Lineage: Eukaryota; Viridiplantae; Streptophyta; Magnoliopsida; Poales; Poaceae. The record is from RNAcentral.
CAAUUCAUUUUUCUACACUGCAACUGUCAAGAACAUGCAUUGUAUUUGAACAUGUACUUUUAGCUGAAAGAAAAAACAGAAAAAAUUAAAUUCAGUUGAUGGCAAAAUAUAUUGGUCCCUUGCUGAGAAGUGGAUCAUGAAUGUAAACGCCAGGGUUGGCUGACCAUGACAAAUGCAUGAUUGUUAUGGUGGUGGGUCCUAUCAAUAAUUAGACAUCCUUGCUCCACCACAUAUUUAUUCCGGACGGUUAUACAUAUCAUGAUGCUUUUAUUCUACAGUUUAGUUACCUAUACCCAAAGUGAAUUACCAGAACUAAAAAGAACUAUACCGAAGAAACAUAGGUCUUCUAAAAAUAUAAGUACUACAAAAAUAUAUAUGACAGGAAGAAAUCAGCGUUCGAUUGCAGAGUAAGCACAAAGCGUGCGACUCCAGAGUAAGCACAAGGUGGGUGGACGAUAUACAUUCAUGUGAUCAGGUGCGACAGGGUUCUGCUACAGCUUUGAUGUUACUUCUAGCUUUAUUUGUCUCCUUGGUUUCCCUUUUUUUUUUGACAAGUCCUUGGUUUCCCUUUUAUGUUUCCCACAUGGCAUUGUAAGUGGUUUAUUUAUAACCUCCGCUAGCAAUGGACUCUUAGCCACACUGCACGGCAGUAUACAUGCACUUAAAGUGGAAGGUCUGAACACAUUGGAGCAUUCUGUAAGCUCUGUUUUCUCGGUGCCAUAUGAGAGACAAAUGUCAAGGCAUACAGUGAAGUCAUGAGCAGAUGGCUGGUCCUUGCCUUGGGUUUUAGAAUGCCGAUAGACGGGACUCGAUUAUCAAGUGAGGGUGCUCUGUUUUAGUUAUGCUCUUAGGCAUUGGGAUGGUGACACAUUGGCAAUGUUAGCAUGGGGGUGUCAUACAUUGCCCUGGCUAGCAAGGUCACCCGAGCGGAUCAGAGGAGAAAGAUAAGGCGAAAUUUCGCAGAGAAAAGAAAUGGGCCUAUAAAAAUACAAAAAAACGAUGGGUGUUCACAUGCAUAAAAAUUCAUGUAUUGCUUGAGAUGUUACACCAACGUAAACAUUGAGGAUCAAGGAAAAAGAGACUAGUAAGAAUGUGAAUUUGAUUGCUGGUAGAAACGGUUGUGUAACCGGGUUAUAGUUGCGAGCAUCUCAAGACAAAUAGCAUUUCAAGACGUGGGUAUAUAUGUUUUCAUGGCACUGGUAUGUAACCCUAUAAAAUUGAUUAUAGUGUAGGUUGGUAAGACUGCACCCUAAAAAUGUUUUCUUGAAAAUAACAUGAACAGAGAAAGUAACCGAAAUGUCUUCACAUAUAUCAGUGACUGCAGUGGCAAUCAAGGAACGGAAAAUUUUAAAUAGUGGUACACAGGAAAAAGAAUGAAUUCUGAUGGCAGUGGGUAAAGCAAUAUAAACUCUAGUGGUUUUGGAGGGAAGUUGCUCCAGGUAAAACUUGUCUAUGCAAUGACUCAGGUAAUUAGGCAUACAUGACUGGUAAUUAAGAUAGCACAUUACAUAUGCAUGGCAAGAAUAUUAGUAUGACAUUACAUAGUACUAUAUUUUACACAUUAAAUAUGACGAAUACUUGGACACUAGACAUUGAUUAUACAUACUAACCAGGUGCAAUUUAUCACUCUGGUAAGUCAUGUUAUUUGGUAGCUUAUCCGGAGUCCACCUCAACUAACUGUGCAAGGUUUUUAGGAAACACUACAAGACCGCGUGCUAACGUCCACGAUGUGAACAAUGAAGCCACAAAUGCACUCGGAUAUUUGACAAGCUCUCUUUUCCCGGUGCCGCCCAUUCACAUUCAUGGGCCUGGGGGCACCCGAUUGUACCAUAACAAUGCAAUGCAAUGUGGCUGGGAGAUCUACUGAGAAGAUGGAGAGAUGUGCAGUGGUCACUGGAUUGAAAUGUGGAGAUUGUUACUAGGAGAGGAGGACGAGGGCACACCGUUUCAUACCCUUAUCCCUUAAGCCAUGGCUCGAUCGAGGGCUAGGGAAUUAAUUUCAGCAUGGGUCUAGUGCAUUUAGUGCAAAGAUCCACCUUUGUCAUUGGAAAAAUCACUAGUACAUAAAAUUUAAUGGAAGCGGUCGUUUUUCAUUAAUGGAGGCGGGCAUUCGCAACCGCCUCCAAUGAAAGGCCUUGGUUAAUCGAGACUUAAUGGAGGCAGAUGCCAUACCUGCCUCGGUUAACUGAUUAAUGGAGGUGGGCCAUUUAGAAUGCCCAUCUCGGUUAAUUGAUAAAAAAAUAAAAAAAUCACAAGCCCAACAGCGAGCACAUUCCCGAGCCCGCCGGUGAGCCUGUUGCCAGCCCAGUAGCUAGAUCUGGCACUGAUCUGGGCCUCGUGCCCCUGUCUUCGAUCCACCACCCUAGCACCGCUGGGAAGAGGGGGCUAGGACCCGCCAGCACCUUUGAAAAAUGCAGGGGGUGGGGCUGCACGCUGCGCCGCAGAAGGACGAGGAGGGCGCGUAGCCGCGCCCAUCCACGUGCACCAACACCACCGCAGCUCCCAAGCCGCUGCAGCCGGAGGUCAAAGAUCUGCAAGGGAGGAGGAUGUGAGGGAUGUAUCCAACUAGAUCUGAGAGAGGAGAGAGAGAGGGGCCGAGGGACAUACCUCUUCCUUGCACCGGAUCCAUGAUGGCCAGGGCGCGCACCCACCACCGUUGGAGCCUCCACGCCACCAAGACCUCUGCAACAUGUGAGGGAGAGAAGGUAGGGGAGAGGCAUGGCCACCGCCGUCAGAGAGAAAUGCUUGAGGAAGAGGGCACAGGGGAGAGGGAGGAGAGGGCCUAGACGUUGGACACGGGGGAGAGGGAGGGUUCCAUCGCGCCGCUCGAUGGACGGAAGGAGGCAAAGGGAGUUUGACUGAGGAGUGAG